GAGCUACCAUUGUUUGUUUGUGUAGCGACAUGUUGAAAAUGGCGGAGGGGAGAGACCUACGCGACAUAAAGAGUCAAAUAUGAGUAAAACGUGAAUGACAAUUUCAAAACCGCAAAUUGGAUUUCGUAAUAACUUAAUUUUUGAAGGCGAUACGGAGUAAUGUAUAGCUGAAAACAGCGACACUAUUUUGAAACUGGCUUUGAAUUAGCCAACAUUGCUAAUCUCGCUAGCUUCAAUAGUGUGUUUUUUUUUACUCGCAGGCUUGUUUGUCAACAUUAGCCAACAACCAUGUUCUCCCUGGCUUGUGUUAGACUGCAGCGCCAGACCACAUUAUCCAUAGCGUGUGGAAGAGAUUGAUUCAUGGAGCGGCAGAACAGAAAACCAAGGCACCCGAACUAGCUGGCACUGGCCGCCCAAUUUACGGGCAUUACUGUUAAAUAUUUACAUCCGAAUUAGCCCAUUUAUGCAUGGAAAUUGAGCGUCUAACUUUAACCAACGACAGAUUGCAUUGAAAUUGAAUAAAUACAGAAGAUAAACACCAGCGUAUACGGAGAUUGAGGCAGGUCCUGCUCGCUACCUUCUCCCCCAGUGGGAUGGUGCUGCAUGACAGGGAGGCCUUGGCGCCAUAGCCCCCUCUCCUGGAUCCUACCUGCCCCACCACCACCCCCUCAGAGCAGAGGACCACCACAACAGCAGCCCCCCCCAUGAGUCACCCUCUGGAGCCCUAGAUCAACGUGCUGAAAGAGUGAAUAUUAAUACUUCAAAAUGUCCUCGGUAUGAUCUCUCUUUUUCUAGCAGUGAUCAUUAGGAAGUUAAUAGAACAAUAUUGCAGAAACCUGACUAGACUGACUUUGUCACUGUUACAUUGUUUACACCCUGGUAGCCAGUCCUUACAGAUGAGUAAGUGGGACAAAGAGAGACAGGUCAGGUCAUUGAGCUGCUAAACCCCUUGUCCAUACAGGGAGUGUUCAGUGCAGGAACAACACAACACAGAUGGGGCUUGUAUCUAUCUAUAUAUGCUGCUGCCUGUCGCAUGUAAUCACAAUUCUGUAGCACAGAAUCAACC
This is a long non-coding RNA of Oncorhynchus tshawytscha (Chinook salmon), 1066 nucleotides long. The record is from Ensembl. Lineage: Eukaryota; Metazoa; Chordata; Actinopteri; Salmoniformes; Salmonidae.